CUCCCAGCCAUUAUUGGCCUUUCAAGGUGCUUCCUCUUAGGAAGACCACAGCUAGCGCUUCUUCAUCUUUAAUGUGACCGUGAAUCACCUGGGAUCUUGUUAAAGUGUAGAUUCUGCUUCAGCAGGUCUGAGGUGGGCUUGGAGUCUGCAUUUCCUUGCUUCCGCGUGAUGACGAUAUUGCUGGUCUUGGGCACCACAGGUGAGGCGCAAGGACCUGAACUCGCCCUCACAGGAAAGGAGCAUAGAAUCUUUCUACAGUCAGUUGAAAAAGAAACAGCCUGAGAAAAUACAGCAGAAGUAUCAGUUUAUUAAAAUAGUUUCCAAUCAAAGAUGGUCUGUGGUCACAAAUGAUAUAUUUUGGUCUCUGGAAAGACAGAGAGCAAGAGGUGGGAGGAGGAGAGAGAGACAGAGAGACCUGGGAGACGCGGGGCCGAGAAGCCUUGGAGAUAUCACUUCCUGGACUUCUCUGCAGAGCAGCCACCGUUGGUCUUGCUAAGAGAGUCUGUGCUGCCCACUCUUGAGCCCACGCUGUUGAGGAUUUUCUCAAUUUCUCCUGGGAUGCUCUGCUUUUCCUCGUUCUCAGUCUCCCGAUGGUAGAAGUAGUUAAAGUUGGAGACAAUAACAGGCACAGGGAGGGCAAUGGUGAGGACCCCUGCGAUGGCACACAGAGUACCCACGAUUUUCCCCCCUGGGGUGGUCGGGCACAUGUCCCCAUAGCCCACAGUUGUCAUGGUGACCACCGCCCACCAGAAGCCAUCAGGAAUGCUGGAGAAAUGGGACUCUGGCUCAUCCACCUCGGCAAAGUAGACGGCGCUGGAGAAGAGGAUGACGCCGAUGAAGAGGAAGAAGAUGAGCAGCCCCAGCUCCCGCAUGGAAGCCUUCAGCGUCUGCCCCAGGAUCUGCAGCCCCUUGGAGUGGCGGGAGAGCUUGAAGAUGCGGAAGACCCUCACCAGGCGGAUGAUCCUCAGGAUGGCCAGGGACAUGUUCUGCUGGGCACUUGGCUCUGUCUCCUGGACCAGCUCCGUGAUGAGGGUUGCGAAGUAGGGGAUGAUGGAGAUGAUGUCGAUGACGUUCAUGAUGCUCCUGAAGAAGUCAGCCUUGCUGGGGCAGACCGUGAACCGGAGCACCAGCUCGAAGGUGAACCACGCGAUGCAGGUGGACUCCACCAUGAAGAAAGGGUCAGUGAACAAAGUGUGGGAGAGGACUGUUUUGCUCAUGUUGAGGCUGGGGUCUCUCACCACCUUCAGCUCCCUCUCCUCUCGGAACUCAGGAAGGGUCUCCAGGCAGAAGAUGGUGAUGGAGAUGAUCACGACCAGGACGGAGACUACGGCCACACCACGGGCAGCACUGGAGCUCUCGGGGUACUCGAAGAGGAGCCAGAACUGCCGGUGGACGUCACUGGUGGGGAGCAGUGUCUCAGGAUCUUUGAUGAAGCCUUCGUCCUCUCGGAACUGGUCCAUGGCCUCGCUGCCCAGCUCGUAGAAGGAGAUCUCGUCUGCAAAGACGUCGAUAGGGACGUUGGCCGGGCGCCGAAUCUUCCCACCAGAUUGGUAAUAGUACAGGAUCCCAUCAAAGCUAGGCCGGUUCCUGUCAAAGAAGUACUCAUUUCUCAUGGAGUCAAAGAACUGCAUCCUUUUCUCCCGAUCUCCCAGACUGGUAGUAGUACAAAAUGGCAUCAAAGCUCGGGCGGUUCCGAUCGAAAAAGUACUCGUUCCGGAGGGGGUCAAAGUAUCUCAUCCGUUUCUUUGGGUCCCCUAAGAGGGUCUCUGGAAACUGGGCUAAGGUCUUUAGCUGGGUUUCAAACCGCAGCCCCGAGAUGUUGAUCACCACCCUCUCACAGCAUUCGUGGUCUGCUUCUGGGUCAUAGGUAUCCUGCGGGUGCCCAGGGAGGGCAGCAGCCUCAUCCGCUGGGUCUCCGGUGGCCACUGUCAUAAUUGGAACCGGGAGGGGCGCCUCUUGCUGCGCCUUCUAGCUGCCUGGUGGCUGGGAGCUUGGGAUGGUGCUUACGGCCCCAGGAAACACAGCGGCAUCAGCCUGGGUUCCAGCGGGAGAGCCCGCAGGGCUCCCUGAGAGCUGGAGAGAGAGCCUCGCUUGGCUGGAAGAUAGAGGUGGUUAAGAACAUAAGACCACUCAGCACUGGCAGCCCGACCUGGGGUGCUUUCCCCCCCACUUCUCUCAGCCAAGAAGCUCAAAAACAUCACCACCACUGAUACCACAAAAAAGUAAGAUUUAUGUUUACCUGGGCUGGGGAUCAGAGGGAAGCAGGUGGUGGUCUCUCAAGAAAGCUCUGGAAUGCCCUGAGCUGGGGGCAGGGGGCUGACAUAGGUCCCCCUGCACUGUGCAGGCUUCAUGGAGCACAGCCCCAUACAAGAGGUUGGAAAGGAGCCCUCUCCCAGGCACUAAACUGAUGCCUUGCAGAUCCCUGCACCCUGAGAGGUAUUUGCAGUGACAAAUCUUGGGCCUGGGUCUCCCUCAUUGCUCCCACCCCAGUGACUCUACACAUGGCUGUUAUUAAACAAUAGAUUGAUUUACCUGGCAAGGCAGGAAUCUGCAGCUCUCUUCCUUGCAGAGCUGAUCCGAUGCUUCAGGAAUCCUAGAUAUACAAACGGGCAGCCCGAUACCCCAUCACGUCUUCUCACUUGAGAUAGAAAUAAUGGUGAGUCAUUCUGGGCAGGAGGGCAGGCUCCAGGGCCUGGAGGUGAGCUCUAGGGCAGAGCUGGGCUGGAGGGGUUGUGGGAUGCCUGGUUAGGGGCACACAGGACUCGGGGACGGGUAAGCUGGGAUCUGGAGCCUUUGAAAGGAAGGAAGUAAGAUGUAAUGCUCAGCAAAAGCCAGAGUUCUCCCGGCUGCCCUCAGGAGGUGUGACGUUGCCUGGAAAAAACAGCAGCAAGGUGGAAUCAGAGUUUUUGGGCAGCUGGUGCCAAGAUUCAGGAGAGCUCUGGCAGCUUCUCUUCCAUGCCCAUUUUCUAUUCUGGUGUCAUACCUGAGAAGUAUCCCUCAACCUCCUAGCCUCUUCUGGGCAGGCUUCCAUCCACUGGAAGCGUUUUCUCCCAGGGAACAAGCCUUUAGACUUGGCUGGGCCUGUCUCCUCCAGGGGCCUCCCCUGGCUCAGUCAGAUUCCCCAUUGGUCCUCUGCAGCCAUCAGGAGGGACUCUGGGCAAAGCCCUCCCAUCCCGAGGUCAGGACACAGCAUCUCCCAAGGGAAGAGCUUCCUACACUGCAGCCCCACUCCCAGCUCUGACCUCUGCAGAGUCCUGGAGGAAGAACCGCUCCUCCCCAGCCUGGCUGCCCCCAAUACACACUCCUCCAGAGCUCAUCUAGGGAGACUUCUCACACAGAAAGGUCGAUCUCCAAAAGCUGGUUUCCUUGGUCCCAGGACUUCCUCUCCCUCAGGGACCCCUACACUGCAGGCCUCCCUCCGGCAGGGUGGCAUUCGAACCGGGCAGCGCCCGACCACCGAUUUCUCCCCAACAGAAAACCCCUCACGUCUCUUGGGCAGUGAGUGCAGAACCAAGUCUCAGCCAGCCUGGCUGCGAGGCAGCUUGGCAGCAGCUAGAGGGGGAGCCUGAAGGAAGCCAGCUUCCGGGCUGGCCCCCUGCCCGCCCAAUCCCGCCGGCCCCCGGGCGGGGAGGGGGCCGAGCCCUCCCGGGUGGCGGCUGCAGCCAGCUCCACCUUAACCCCCUCCUGCCCGGUCCGGAGGGGGGCUCUAGCGGUGGGGCCCGAGCGCUGCCUAGCUCUUUUGCCCGUAGCGUCCGAGGGACCGCCGAGGCUCCAUCUCCCUCCAGAAAACACUGGAACCUAAACUCUGGGGGUGGGGAGUAGAUGCUGCCCCAGAUCUUGGCUUUCCUCUAAGAGCGGGGGCUCCCUGGGAGCCCCACGGCCCCAGGGAAGCGGAAAAGCCCUUCUCUGCCGCAAAGCCGUUUUCGUUCUGAGCCGGAGAGGGGAAUGCCGCCGGGCAGUCCCAAGUGAUUCGUGUCCUACCAACCAGCGCUAUUUACCAGACAUGGUUAUGUCAGCUGCGCUUCCCAUCACCCGCCAGCUCCUCUCUGCGCCCUCCGCCCCGCGCGCCCGGCACUGCCCGGAGGGUCCCCGAGCCCUUUGCCUGUUCUCUCCUUCCGCUGGUCGCCAGCCCCCCAUCGCCCCCCCCCGCCCCCCGCCCCCCCGCCCCCACCCGCUUACAUGUAGGGCCUCCCUGGUCGUUCCGGUAGAGCGAGACAGCACCCGGCGCUGCG
This 4232-nucleotide long non-coding RNA is filed under the name Ovis aries (sheep). RNAcentral describes it as "lncRNA (ENSOARG00000025544.1)". Lineage: Eukaryota; Metazoa; Chordata; Mammalia; Artiodactyla; Bovidae. The record is from RNAcentral.